CAUUAAGAAGCUUUUAUAGCACUAGCCUUUUAAGCUAGGGAGGGGGGGUGCAUGCCCCCCCUUAAUGA
RNAcentral lists this transfer RNA (68 nucleotides) under Ateuchosaurus chinensis (Chinese short-limbed skink). RNAcentral's name for it is "tRNA-Lys". It matches the Rfam family "tRNA". From Rfam's summary of the family: Transfer RNA (tRNA) molecules are approximately 80 nucleotides in length. Their secondary structure includes four short double-helical elements and three loops (D, anti-codon, and T loops). Further hydrogen bonds mediate the characteristic L-shaped molecular structure. tRNAs have two regions of fundamental functional importance: the anti-codon, which is responsible for specific mRNA codon recognition, and the 3' end, to which the tRNAs corresponding amino acid is attached (by aminoacyl-tRNA synthetases). tRNAs cope with the degeneracy of the genetic code in two manners: having more than one tRNA (with a specific anti-codon) for a particular amino acid; and 'wobble' base-pairing, i.e. permitting non-standard base-pairing at the 3rd anti-codon position. The record is from RNAcentral. Lineage: Eukaryota; Metazoa; Chordata; Lepidosauria; Squamata; Scincidae.